Long non-coding RNA from Cherax quadricarinatus, 1142 nucleotides. RefSeq lists it as uncharacterized. The record is from RefSeq and is a predicted model, not a curated record. NCBI's taxonomy places the organism in Eukaryota, Metazoa, Arthropoda, Malacostraca, Decapoda, Parastacidae.
UAGAAGUGGUUAACAUAUUUUCCGUUUGAUGAUAAUGGUGUUGUCGUUGGGGUCUGCGUCAGGUGAGUAAUUUCAGUACAGCAGCGCAACGUGUACAUGACCUCAACGAACAACAUGUUGUGAGUGCAUGUGAACAUGAGACAUUGUGAUCCACAUAGCUCUCCUUUGCCCCAGCAGACGCCUCCCUCAUCUCGACGCCGCUGAUUUGAAGGUGAUACCAGGGGAAUCGCUGACUCUUUCUUGUGGAGUCGAGCAAGAAUUUAGUUUUUGUAUCAGGGACCACGAAGAUGGGAGGAGUUUCCAGGUCAAGGAUGUCCACAGUGGCUUUCACCCAGGGAUGAGAGCACCGAAGGAUCUCACAGACAACCAGUGCGGCAUCGUCAUCAACUCUGUCAGCUUUGAAGACUCCGGAGAGUGGACAUUUAGAGUGUUCCUCACUAGCGGCGGGGAAUUACGUAGCACCAAGGUACUCGAAGCAUGUCACGACCCCUUCGCAGAUGUGGCAGGCGAGUACCUGUACUUCCACGAGACUGCUAUGACCUGAUUGAGUAUGUCCACGACGCUGUUCACCCCGGGAUGAGAUCACUGGAGGAACUCACAGGCGAUCACUGCGGCAUUGUCAUCGACUCUGUCACCGUUGAGGACUUAGAAGCAUUGACUAAUGUAAAGUGCUCCUCUCUGGUGGUGGUGGCGAAUUACGCAACACCAAGACAGUUGCAGGCAAGUUGGAAUAUCUCUAUCGUUUCUGUUAGACUUACAGAAGGAGUGAGAUACGUGUACUUUAACAGCUGCCUGACCUGAUUUCUCACAGAGAUAACGCUGAUAAAUACAAUAAAGUUUAUAACUUUAAGAUGCUGCUUAAUUAUUAGUAAUUCUUAGCACAUAGAUGAUAAAAACGACAAAAUGGUGAAACUUUGUGUCAAAGGAAACACUUAAUGGCCUCUUACGAUUAUUACUACGCAAUUAGCAUGUUAUAUAUUAGUUUAUCGUAAGAAUGCCGUGUGAUGAGAAGUAGGUAGUUGGAACACACGUAUUGUGGCAGGGUUUAUCAUGUCUUUCAUGAUAACAUUCAUAUUUCUUGAGAUAUGUGCACCCCUUACACUCAUUAUUAUUAUUAUUAUUAUUAUUAUUAUUAUUAUUAU